This 292-nucleotide ribosomal RNA is filed under the name uncultured bacterium. Its description in RNAcentral is "partial 16S ribosomal RNA". It matches the Rfam family "Bacterial small subunit ribosomal RNA", at positions 505 to 796 of the family's 1533-position model. The record is from RNAcentral.
GUGCCAGCCGCCGCGGUAAUACAGGGGGGGCAAGCGUUGUUCGGAAUUACUGGGCGUAAAGGGUUCGUAGGUGGCCAACUAAGUCAGACGUGAAAUCCCUCAGCUUAACUGGGGAACUGCGUCUGAUACUGGAUGGCUUGAGUGUAGGAGAGGAAUGCGGAAUUCCAGGUGUAGCGGUGAAAUGCGUAGAUAUCUGGAGGAACACCGGUGGCGAAGGCGGCAUUCUGGACUACAACUGACACUGAGGAACGAAAGCCAGGGGAGCAAACGGGAUUAGAUACCCUAGUAGUCC